RNAcentral lists this long non-coding RNA (384 nucleotides) under Anas platyrhynchos platyrhynchos (common mallard). Its description in RNAcentral is "lncRNA (ENSAPLG00000024651.1)". Lineage: Eukaryota; Metazoa; Chordata; Aves; Anseriformes; Anatidae. The record is from RNAcentral.
GCUUUGCAAGAAAACACCGGCUUUGCUUUUAUGUUUUGUCGGGGACAGGCGGGAACUUAACCAAUUUACCUUCAUGGGCUUUCCUGGCGCUAUCGUUACCUAACAUGCAAGUUUCUUCAGUCUGCUUCUUACGUCGAGACAAUGCAGGGCAUGGAAAGAACAAGACCCUAAUCAUAUGGCAUGACUGAAAGGAUGAAAGCUUGGAACAAGGGCCUAUGAUAAUUUCUAAUCACCACAGAAGAAAGUUUUACAGUUUCAUAGAACCAUUUCAUUAGCGAGUAGGCCAAUAGAAGGAAUUGGGCUUGCCUCUUAAAAAGCUAGUUUUACUAAAUGAAACCUUAUUUUUUUUAAUUGCUAAUAUAUUUAUUUAUUUGAAGUGAAGUA